RNAcentral lists this ribosomal RNA (497 nucleotides) under uncultured bacterium. RNAcentral describes it as "partial 16S ribosomal RNA". It matches the Rfam family "Bacterial small subunit ribosomal RNA", at positions 28 to 507 of the family's 1533-position model. The record is from RNAcentral.
GAUGAACGCUGGCGGCGUGCCUAAUACAUGCAAGUCGAGCGAACAGACGAGGAGCUUGCUCCUCUGACGUUAGCGGCGGACGGGUGAGUAACACGUGGAUAACCUACCUAUAAGACUGGGAUAACUUCGGGAAACCGGAGCUAAUACCGGAUAAUAUAUUGAACCGCAUGGUUCAAUAGUGAAAGACGGUUUUGCUGUCACUUAUAGAUGGAUCCGCGCCGCAUUAGCUAGUUGGUAAGGUAACGGCUUACCAAGGCAACGAUGCGUAGCCGACCUGAGAGGGUGAUCGGCCACACUGGAACUGAGACACGGUCCAGACUCCUACGGGAGGCAGCAGUAGGGAAUCUUCCGCAAUGGGCGAAAGCCUGACGGAGCAGCGCCGCGUGAGUUAUGACGGUCUUCGGAUCGUAAAACUCUGUUAUUAGGGAAGAACAAAUGUGUAAGUAACUAUGCACGUCUUGACGGUACCUAAUCAGAAAGCCACGGCUAACUACGUG